This 253-nucleotide ribosomal RNA is filed under the name uncultured bacterium. RNAcentral describes it as "partial 16S ribosomal RNA". It matches the Rfam family "Bacterial small subunit ribosomal RNA", at positions 524 to 776 of the family's 1533-position model. The record is from RNAcentral.
UACAGAGGUCUCAAGCGUUGUUCGGAUUCAUUGGGCGUAAAGGGUGCGUAGGUGGCGCCGUAAGUCGGGUGUGAAAUUUCGGAGCUUAACUCCGAAACUGCAUUCGAUACUGCGGUGCUUGAGGACUGGAGAGGAGACUGGAAUUCAUGGUGUAGCAAUGAAAUGCGUAGAGAUCAUGAGGAAGACCAGUGGCGAAGGCGGGUCUCUGGACAGUUCCUGACACUGAGGCACGAAGGCCAGGGGAGCAAACGGG